RNAcentral lists this long non-coding RNA (1074 nucleotides) under Papio anubis (olive baboon). RNAcentral's name for it is "lncRNA (ENSPANG00000042328.1)". The record is from RNAcentral. Lineage: Eukaryota; Metazoa; Chordata; Mammalia; Primates; Cercopithecidae.
CAGAGUCUUGCUCUGUUGCCCAGGCUGGAGUGCAGUGGCCGGAUCUCAGCUCACUGCAAGCUCCGCCUUCCGGGUUCACGCCAUUCUCCUGCCUCAGCCUCCCGAGUAGCUGGGACUACAGGCGCCCGCCACCACGCCCGGCUAAGUUUUUGUAUUUUUAGUAAAGACGGGGUUUCACCGUGUUAGUCAGGAUGGUCUCGAUCUCCUGACCUCGUGAUCCGCCCGCCUCGGCCUCCCAAAGUGCUGGGAUUACAGGCGUGAGCCACCGCGCCCGGCCCCCUAAGGUCACUUUUAAAGCAAAAUUCCUGACAACGUGGACUUUCCUCUGCCGUAAUGGGUAGAGAGUCUUGAAAAUUGCCCGGAUCCCAGCCUAGUUCCUCUAAUUGGUAUGUUUUCUCAGGGAGUUAUCUAAAGAGUGGAGGUGUUUUGCUUUAAGGGAAAGCCUGGGGAUGGAGGAGCGGGUUGUGCAUAGACAUUUUCAGGUUUGGGAGACAAGCCAGUGCUACGCGGUUGCCAUAGUAACCUGACGUCAUAUUAGCGACGGUGACGACCUUUUAAUGAGACCAAUUUGGCCUGGGUAGAACAGCAGUGUCUCACCUUCAGGCGUUUGGACUCGGUGGAGGUUGUGAGUGCCUAGCAGUGUGGGCUGAAUCUCCUUGGGGUUUAGGGAGACGAAAGGACCCCAGAUCGACGUCCCCUCGUUCCCACUUUGGAGAUCGGCGCUCUGGCUGUUUCGUGAGAGAGAGAGAGGAACUCAGAGUGGUUUUCCAGAUGGGAAUCACAUUGCUCUCUGUCCCUGAGAUCUUGCUGGAGACAGGGCUACUCAGUCCCUCUUUGCUGGAUCAUCUGUUCCAGAGGAAACGUGUCAUUCUGACUGAGCCCCUGCCUGUCUGUCACCUUAAGAACCAGUCAAUUCAUAUGGUCCACAUAUCAAGGUCUCCUGUGCCCAGAGAGAGGAUUUCAUUUCAGCCGUCACCAUCACCACCAUCAUCAUCAUCACCAGGAGGGGUUGUUGAAUUGAUAUUGGAAAAGCAGUUUCUAUUGAGCCCCCAAAUGAAGAGUGAGUGCAGAUGA